CCUAAAGUACCAAACCGAACCGCCCCCUCAUGUUCUCAAACCACCUUCAUCUCUCUGCUUAUUCUAUCAAUAUCAAACUCUCUGUUAGAUCCUUCCCAUGAAUCAAGCAAACAAAUGUUCAUGUCAACACAAUCAACUCAACGCAUUCGCCCAGACUCAAACAAAAAUCGUAAUCACAACUUAAUAGUAAAGCAUAUAAACAACAAAUGCAACCAUAAUGUGGAGAUACAAAAUGUUACCGAUUCAUUCUGAUACGAGAUGUUGCGUCUUGUGUUGCGGACGUGUUGUUGAUUUGCAGGUGCGAUAUGGAGAAGAUGAUGUGUGAUCCGGAUCUCUGUGUACAGGUUUAAUGGAUCGGUGACGUAUGUUGACAUUGUUGAGUUGAAGAUCGACACGUUCUUAUGCUAUUUGUGUAUUUAUAUUUCGUCGCGAGUGGAUCGUUUCGACUUGAUGAAGAUGAUGAUGAUCUGAGUUUGUAGCUAUUCGCGGGGGUGGCUUCGAGGUUGUUGAGGGCGGCAGAGUUUCGCUCUGAGCAGGAGGUUUCACCAGUACCUAAAAACAAAACAAAUCGAUCAUUGCAAGUGACUUUGUUAGUUUUGUAAUAACAGAAAGUUUGUUCGUGAUUUCGUUUCAGCACUACAUGUGACCCAAUUUCGAUGCCGCAAUUGCUGAAGGUGAAUUGGAGCUGUGAUGCUUCGAAAUGGCAGUGUCGGUGUUAUGCGGAAUUGUGAUGAGGUCACAAGAUUUCGUCGGAGAAUCUACGGCGGCUGUUGGUGUUGAUGAAUGUUGCGAUGUGGUGCUGUCGUGCAGUCGUAUGUGUGAAGUGAACAUGAUGAGUUCUUGUUUAUGGUUUGAAUAGUUGUGUUAGACUUUCUUCUGUUCAGAACCUGCACUAGUAUCCUUUUAAUUAUGUUGUUAGUAUGAAGAAUGAACAACUAAUAUGUAUGAUAUAUAGAAUUUGCAUGGAAAACUCUAUGGAACAUCGAACUAUGGACAAAAGUUGAAAUAAAUUGGGCCAUUGACAAAGUACGUACAAUUGAGAAAAUAAAUUGAAAUAUUUUUUGUUAA
Long non-coding RNA from Vicia villosa (hairy vetch), 1068 nucleotides. RefSeq lists it as uncharacterized. The record is from RefSeq and is a predicted model, not a curated record. NCBI's taxonomy places the organism in Eukaryota, Viridiplantae, Streptophyta, Magnoliopsida, Fabales, Fabaceae. The transcript is spliced from 2 exons.